CAGUCACCUAAUGACCACAAGCCAAAUCAAUCAGAAUCAGAAUGAGCUUUAUUGCCAGGUAUGUUUACACAUACGAGAAAUUUGUUUUCGUGACAGAAGCAAAUCAAGGCAAUGCAAUCCCUUUCUCAUGCCUCCAUCUGAAAAGUUGGAGGAAAAAAAUAAAUAAAUAAAAGAGUCCAAAUAAUGACCCCUAUAACAUAUAGUGUUCCAAAUGUUAAGCGACUUCAGCUUAUGAUGGGUCCAACUGGUAUUUUUAUGGUGUAAGGGCUGUGUCGGCAUAAGAAAAAGCCAUGCUUUGUUUAGUGAUGUCAGUGCUGUGGCACUGGCUGGGGACAAACUGCUGCAUGCGCAGCUCCUCGUUAGUAUAGUGGACAGUAUCUCCGCCUGUCACGCGGAAGACCGGGGUUCGAUUCCCCGACGGGGAGAGCUAGCUCUUUUCUGCUUGCUGGACGACCAAUCCAAAAGUUUUUGGCGCAACCAGGGCUCACAGAAGGAGUACGGCUACGAUGUCAGCCCGAGCCAAAGGAAAUGCGUUGGCCGGGAAUCGAACCCGGGUCAACUGCUUGGAAGGCAGCUAUGCUCACCACUAUACCACCAACGCAGGCAGAAGGUGCCAGAAAUACAGAGGCUGCAAACACAGACGAUGACCAGUUGCACGUCCUCCCACCGUGUGUUGGCAGAUGGCCAAAUUCACUCUGCUCUUGACAUUCCGGUGUAGCUCUGCUGUGAGCAGAGCCCCCAAAAAAAUACAGGUCACUCGCAAAAGCUCCCCUCCACGGAAAUCUUUAGUAAAAGGCGAAAGAUUUAUGCGACAAUGAAGAGAAACUCGAGCUGUAUCCCCACCCCCUUGGGCCUGUGCGCUGCCAGUGGUAAGCCACUAUUCUCACCUAGGGUCAUCAAUGGUGAAGACACCUGCCCACAUGCAUUUCGUCACCCCCCUCACUCCAAAGGGGAGGAGUAAAGGUCACAAAAAAAUUCCCGUCAGUCACCUAAUGACCACAAGCCAAAUCA
Long non-coding RNA from Cyprinus carpio carpio, 1011 nucleotides. The record is from Ensembl. NCBI's taxonomy places the organism in Eukaryota, Metazoa, Chordata, Actinopteri, Cypriniformes, Cyprinidae.